RNAcentral lists this ribosomal RNA (465 nucleotides) under Vreelandella stevensii. RNAcentral's name for it is "partial 16S ribosomal RNA". It matches the Rfam family "Bacterial small subunit ribosomal RNA", at positions 338 to 795 of the family's 1533-position model. The record is from RNAcentral. Lineage: Bacteria; Pseudomonadati; Pseudomonadota; Gammaproteobacteria; Oceanospirillales; Halomonadaceae.
CCUACGGGGUGCUGCAGUGGGGAAUAUUGGACAAUGGGCGAAAGCCUGAUCCAGCCAUGCCGCGUGUGUGAAGAAGGCCUUCGGGUUGUAAAGCACUUUCAGUGGGGAAGAAAGCCUUGGGGCUAAUACCCUCGAGGAAGGACAUCACCCACAGAAGAAGCACCGGCUAACUCCGUGCCAGUAGCCGCGGUAAUACGGAGGGUGCGAGCGUUAAUCGGAAUUACUGGGCGUAAAGCGCGCGUAGGCGGUCUGAUAAGCCGGUUGUGAAAGCCCCGGGCUCAACCUGGGAACGGCAUCCGGAACUGUGAGGCUAGAGUGCAGGAGAGGAAGGUAGAAUUCCCGGUGUAGCGGUGAAAUGCGUAGAGAUCGGGAGGAAUACCAGUGGCGAAGGCGGCCUUCUGGACUGACACUGACGCUGAGGUGCGAAAGCGUGGGUAGCAAACAGGAUUAGAUACCCGGGUAGUC